RNAcentral lists this long non-coding RNA (282 nucleotides) under Manihot esculenta (cassava). RNAcentral describes it as "long non-coding RNA (MESC_LNC006611)". The record is from RNAcentral. Lineage: Eukaryota; Viridiplantae; Streptophyta; Magnoliopsida; Malpighiales; Euphorbiaceae.
CCUGUGUAGGUUCGGACCUGAGGAACCGAGGACCCUAGCAGUGAGAUAGCUGCUUCAGUGUCUUUUCAGAGCUAGCCUGAGGUGAGUAGAAUGGAUCUUUACGUUUCAAAGCAAAUAAAUUUAGAGCAUGUUCAUGCAUCACAAAUGCCAUGUGAUAUAUUAGGUUGUUUGCAUUAGAAUUCACGAAUAUGUUGCAUUGCAUAAUAUAAUGUUGAUGUGGAUGGGUGUUGAAUGAUCCAUUAGCCCUCGUAUGAUGACAUGAUAUGAUAUGAUAUGGUAUGG